RNAcentral lists this small nuclear RNA (321 nucleotides) under Erinaceus europaeus (western European hedgehog). RNAcentral's name for it is "7SK RNA". It matches the Rfam family "7SK RNA". From Rfam's summary of the family: 7SK was discovered as an abundant small nuclear RNA in the mid-70s but a possible function has only recently been suggested. Two independent studies have found that 7SK RNA binds the CDK9/cyclin T complex (known as elongation factor P-TEFb). Lineage: Eukaryota; Metazoa; Chordata; Mammalia; Eulipotyphla; Erinaceidae. The record is from Rfam by way of RNAcentral.
GGAUGUGAGGGCGAUUUGGCUGCGACAUCUGUCACCCCAUUGAUCGCCAGGGUUGAUUCGGCUGAUCUGGCUGGCUAGGCGGGUGUCCCCUUCCUCCCUCACCGCUCCAUGUGCGUCCCUCCCGAAGCUGCGCGCUCGGUCGAAGAGGACGGCCUUCCUCGAAUAGAGACGACCGGUCUUCGGUCGAGGGUAUACGAGUAGCUGCGCUCCCCUGCUAGAACCUCCAAACAAGCUCUCAAGACAGAGAGAAAUGGAGAGAGGCGGGGAAGACAGAGAGGGGGAGAGAAAGACAGACACUUGCAGACCUGCUUCACUGCCUAU